Molecule: transfer RNA, 74 nt
Filed under: Methylacidiphilales bacterium
Lineage: Bacteria; Pseudomonadati; Verrucomicrobiota; Methylacidiphilae; Methylacidiphilales
Description: Candidatus Methylacidiphilales bacterium tRNA-Arg
Rfam family: tRNA
About the family: Transfer RNA (tRNA) molecules are approximately 80 nucleotides in length. Their secondary structure includes four short double-helical elements and three loops (D, anti-codon, and T loops).
Source: RNAcentral
GCGCCCGUAGCUCAAUUGGAUAGAGCAUCUGACUACGGAUCAGAAGGUUUGCAGUUCGACUCUGCACGGGCGCA